Molecule: unclassified non-coding RNA, 350 nt
Filed under: soil metagenome
Description: partial contains 5.8S ribosomal RNA, internal transcribed spacer 2, and large subunit ribosomal RNA
Rfam family: 5.8S ribosomal RNA (bases 1-120)
Source: RNAcentral
GAUGAAGAACGUAGCGAAAUGCGAUAAGUAAUGUGAAUUGCAGAAUUCAGUGAAUCAUCGAGUCUUUGAACGCACAUUGCGCCCCCUGGUAUUCCGGGGGGCAUGCCUGUCCGAGCGUCAUUGCUGCCCUCAAGCACGGCUUGUGUGUUGGGCCCCCGUCCCCGGUUCUCCCCGGGGACGGGCCCGAAAGGCAGCGGCGGCACCGCGUCCGAUCCUCGAGCGUAUGGGGCUUUGUCACCCGCUCUGUAGGCCCGGCCGGCGCCAGCCGACACCCCAACUUUAUUUUCUAAGGUUGACCUCGGAUCGGGUAGGGAUACCCGCUGAACUUAAGCAUAUCAAUAAGCGGAGGA